RNAcentral lists this ribosomal RNA (253 nucleotides) under uncultured bacterium. RNAcentral's name for it is "partial 16S ribosomal RNA". It matches the Rfam family "Bacterial small subunit ribosomal RNA", at positions 524 to 776 of the family's 1533-position model. The record is from RNAcentral.
UACAGAGGUCUCAAGCGUUGUUCGGAUUCAUUGGGCGUAAAGGGUGUGUAGGUGGCGCGCUAAGUCGGGUGUGAAAUCUCGGAGCUUAACUCCGAAACUGCAUUCGAUACUGCCGUGCUUGAGGACUGGAGAGGAGACUGGAAUUUACGGUGUAGCGGUGAAAUGCGUAGAUAUCGUAAGGAAGACCAGUGGCGAAGGCGGGUCUCUGGACAGUUCCUGACGCUGAGGCACGAAGGUCAGGGGAGCAAACAGG